RNAcentral lists this ribosomal RNA (114 nucleotides) under Acanthosepion pharaonis. The record is from RNAcentral. Lineage: Eukaryota; Metazoa; Mollusca; Cephalopoda; Sepiida; Sepiidae.
UUACGGUCAAAUCACGCUGAAACACCGGUUCUCGUUCGAUCACCGAAGUUAAGCAUCGUAGAGCCAGGUCAGUACUUAGAUGGGGGACCGCUUGGGAACACCUGGUAAUGUAAG